Molecule: unclassified non-coding RNA, 315 nt
Filed under: uncultured Onygenaceae
Lineage: Eukaryota; Fungi; Ascomycota; Eurotiomycetes; Onygenales
Description: sequence contains ITS1
Rfam family: 5.8S ribosomal RNA (bases 1-105)
Source: RNAcentral
GAAAUGCGAUAAGUAAUGUGAAUUGCAGAAUUCCGUGAAUCAUCGAAUCUUUGAACGCACAUUGCGCCCUCUGGUAUUCCGGGGGGCAUGCCUGUUCGAGCGUCAUUGCAAACCCUCAAGCGCGGCUUGUGAGAUGGGCUAGCGUCCCCCGCUCCGGGUGGACGAGCCUGAAAUGCAGUGGCGGCACCGAGUUCUUGGUGUCUGAGUGUAUGGGAUUUAUAACAUCACUCAAAGACCCGAUCGGCGCCGAUCAUCAAAACUUUUGAUUUUAUCCGGUUUGACCUCGGAUCAGGUAGGAGUACCCGCUGAACUUAA